RNAcentral lists this ribosomal RNA (252 nucleotides) under uncultured bacterium. RNAcentral's name for it is "partial 16S ribosomal RNA". It matches the Rfam family "Bacterial small subunit ribosomal RNA", at positions 524 to 776 of the family's 1533-position model. The record is from RNAcentral.
UACGUAGGUCCCGAGCGUUGUCCGGAUUUAUUGGGCGUAAAGCGAGCGCAGGUGGUUUAUUAAAUCUGGUGUAAAAGGCAGUGGCUCAACCAUUGUAUGCAUUGGAAACUGGUAGACUUGAGUGCAGGAGAGGAGAGUGGAAUUCCAUGUGUAGCGGUGAAAUGCGUAGAUAUUAGGAGGAACACCAGUGGCGAAGGCGGCUUUCUGGACUGUAACUGACACUGAGGUACGAAAGCGUGGGUAUCGAACAGG